UAAGGGCGCACGGUGGAUGCCUUGGCACUAGAAGCCGAUGAAGGACGUUACUAACGACGAUAUGCUUUGGGGAGCUGUAAGUAAGCUUUGAUCCAGAGAUUUCCGAAUGGGGAAACCCAGCAUGAGUUAUGUCAUGUUAUCGAUAUGUGAAUACAUAGCAUAUCAGAAGGCACACCCGGAGAACUGAAACAUCUUAGUACCCGGAGGAAGAGAAAGAAAAUUCGAUUCCCUUAGUAGCGGCGAGCGAAACGGGAAGAGCCCAAACCAACAAGCUUGCUUGUUGGGGUUGUAGGACACUCUAUACGGAGUUACAAAGGACGACAUUAGACGAAUCAUCUGGAAAGAUGAAUCAAAGAAGGUAAUAAUCCUGUAGUCGAAAAUGUUGUCUCUCUUGAGUGGAUCCUGAGUACGACGGAGCACGUGAAAUUCCGUCGGAAUCUGGGAGGACCAUCUCCUAAGGCUAAAUACUCUCUAGUGACCGAUAGUGAACCAGUACCGUGAGGGAAAGGUGAAAAGCACCCCGGAAGGGGAGUGAAAUAGAACCUGAAACCGUGUGCUUACAAGUAGUCAGAGCCCGUUAAUGGGUGAUGGCGUGCCUUUUGUAGAAUGAACCGGCGAGUUACGAUUUGAUGCAAGGUUAAGCAGUAAAUGUGGAGCCGUAGCGAAAGCGAGUCUGAAUAGGGCGUUUAGUAUUUGGUCGUAGACCCGAAACCAGGUGAUCUACCCUUGGUCAGGUUGAAGUUCAGGUAACACUGAAUGGAGGACCGAACCGACUUACGUUGAAAAGUGAGCGGAUGAACUGAGGGUAGCGGAGAAAUUCCAAUCGAACCUGGAGAUAGCUGGUUCUCUCCGAAAUAGCUUUAGGGCUAGCCUCAAGUGAUGAUUAUUGGAGGUAGAGCACUGUUUGGACGAGGGGCCCCUCUCGGGUUACCGAAUUCAGACAAACUCCGAAUGCCAAUUAAUUUAACUUGGGAG
Molecule: ribosomal RNA, 975 nt
Filed under: Staphylococcus aureus
Lineage: Bacteria; Bacillati; Bacillota; Bacilli; Caryophanales; Staphylococcaceae
Description: partial 23S ribosomal RNA
Rfam family: Bacterial large subunit ribosomal RNA
Source: RNAcentral